CGAUGAGGUAGAGGUUGCAUCCAUUAAUAGUAUCGUUCAGGAGAUGUUGUGGCAUUGAUGAAUGAACGAGAAAGGAAUGGUUGCCGAAGUGAGACAUGCCCACUGCAUUGUCUUGCUGGGUCUGUACUGAAUAAGUGCAGAACUGUCACAAGUAGCAAUACUUGUGGAGAGCUAUCAAGAGA
Molecule: non-coding RNA, 182 nt
Filed under: Bacillus manliponensis
Lineage: Bacteria; Bacillati; Bacillota; Bacilli; Caryophanales; Bacillaceae
Description: Lysine sequence
Rfam family: Lysine riboswitch aptamer
About the family: Riboswitches are metabolite binding domains within certain messenger RNAs that serve as precision sensors for their corresponding targets. Allosteric rearrangement of mRNA structure is mediated by ligand binding, and this results in modulation of gene expression.
Source: Rfam by way of RNAcentral